CAUGGUUUACUACAUAAGAUAAGCUCACUAAUCAUUUUGUUAAUGUUAGAGAUUUAGUGACUAAUAAAGUAUCCUGUUGAACUACGGGUAAUCACGCGAGAAGGGAGAACAGAGGGAACUGAGGGAAGAGUUGCACGAGCACGAAAGCUAGUCGGCAGCUAAUAGUGCUUUUACGGCACUUAACGUUUUAAGUUGGACUAUUCAUGGUAUCGGACACUGCUCUCGCCGGCGUAGGAGUUUGUGACUGUGGGGCUACCACUGGAGGUGUGUGUAUUUGCACUGGGAAGUGAGCUUAGACCUGUCAGUUUCUGUGGCUAAGUUAGCUCGUGGCUUCGCGGGACUGUGACACCGUCGUGGGAGGGACCGCAGACACACCGUUCGCCUGCUGGACAAGAGGAGACCACAUCGGAACGCUGGUGUUUUCCUCCACGGAGGGCUGUGUUGCUGGUGGUGACGGACGAACGAAGCUGUGUAACCCUCGCUGUGCUGCUGCGGACAACGUCGCCCCGGUAGGAUCUGGGUUUUCCACUCCACUCAAGGAGGAGCAUCUGGAUUCAGCAGAGAUCCAGUGUGUGAUGGGAGCAUGUCGUCACCAGCUGGAAAGAUUAUGAAUGGAAGGCAAAUUUUAGAAUGAGAAAGAUCCCAUUCUUGCAGUUGUGCAACAUCAUCCAGCCACACCUUCAAAGAGAGACAACUACAUUUAGGAAACCAGUGCCUGUGGAGCACCGAGUGGAGGUGGGCAUCUGGAGACUGGCUACAAAUGAGGUGUUCAGAACCAUCUCCCAUUUAUUUGGGAUUGGCCAGUCUAUUGCCGUCACUAUAGCCAAUCAGGUUGCCUCUGUAACUGUGAACAACAUCAGAAUACCCUCUGAACAAGAAUUCAAGAUUAUUAUUCAAGGUUUCCGAGACCGGUGGAGUUUCCCGCAAUGCGGAAGGGCUAUUGAUGGGACUCAUAUUGGCAUUUUAGUUCCAGUUGACAGCCCUGCAGACUACUACAAUUGUAAAGGCUUCCAUUCUGUCAUCCGGCAAGGUGUGGUGGACCAUCAACUUAGAUUCUGGGACAUCAAUGUGGGUUGGCUGGGCAAAGUCCAUGAUGCCAGAGUGUUCGGCAAUUCAACCUUGUACGAGAGGGCUCAGAGUAGUACACUGUUCCCUAAUAUCACAGAGAGGUUUGCAGGAGUAGAUCUGCUGGAGUCUACUCAAUAUCCUGUUUGCCGCUUGGUGUUCCUUCUUCUGUAACUGUUGUUGAUGCUCCUCCAUCUCCAUUUGUGCCUUCAUCCGGUUUUUGAGCAUCUCCUUCUCUUGCUGGUGACGCAGCUGCUCCCUUUGCAUAAAUUCUUCAUGUUUUUGCUUUUGCAUGUUCUUAAAGGCCACCAUCAUGUCACUCACAUCUGUCUUUCUCUUCCUCUUCCUGCUCUGCUCUGGGGGAGCUCUAUCAGGUGUACUACUAUCAGAGGUCUCAGCCUGUGUCUCAUCACCAGUGUCUGACUGAACUGCAGUGUGUGAUAUGACUAUCAAAAUUAAAGCAACAUAUAAAAAAA
Molecule: long non-coding RNA, 1541 nt
Organism: Micropterus salmoides (largemouth bass)
Lineage: Eukaryota; Metazoa; Chordata; Actinopteri; Centrarchiformes; Centrarchidae
Exons: 2
Source: RefSeq, a predicted model, not a curated record